CAAUGAUGGUUUGAACAUUUUUUGCAGGAUGAGUUAAAAUGCACUGUAGUAUAUUUGGGAUUUUUGUUUUUGGAAUUGUCUGUUUUAAUCACAGUCUUAAUUCACAAUUGGCAAAGGCAGUUUACUCAAAGGACUGGCCUCAAUAUUCUGUAAUUAUGCAUUUUUGAUAGGAAAAUGAAAUUUUUGCAAACAGACAUUUUCUUUUUUUCUUUUUUUUUGGCUGGAGUGCAGUGGGGCAUGGUCUUGGCUCACCGCAGCAUUGACCACCUGGGCUCAAGUGAUAUUCCUGCCUCAGCCACCCAAGUAGCUGGCACUAUGAGCACGCGCCACCAUGCCCAGCUAAUUUUUUUGUAUUUUUAGUAGAGAUGGGGUUUUGCCAUGUUGCCCAGGCUGGUCUCAACUCCUCAGCUCAAGCAAUCUGCCUGCGUAAGCCUCCCAAAGUGGUGGAAUUACAGGCGUGAGCCACUGCACCUGGCCCAGACAGACAUUUUCUGAAACACAACUGGCAAUGAGCUGUUUUUACAUUUUGAAAGUGAUUCUUCACUUCCUAGUUCUUAAUUAUAAUAUACCUAUUAAAAUCUGUAAGAUCCUGAAGACUUAUAAGAUCAUGAAGCCAUAUAAGAAUGAGGAUUGAAAGUUGAGCAAAAUUUUUGGGAUUUUGGGAAACAUUCUUAGCUGUGCUGUCUGCCUAAAAUUAUUCCUUAUUACUUCUCUCCUUUGACAGACUUCAAGUUUUCUUCAUAGCCCUUUCAAAGUUUUUUGGGCCAUCCAGAGUAAAAUCAUUUCUAAAUGAUAGUUCUGUAUAUCUCCAACUUGUCUUAAGUGUAUUUGCCUGUGUGCAAGGUAUUGCUAGACUAUGAACUCCUCAGCAUGGCUGCUGGAUAACUUAAUUGUCCUGAGUUACUAGCCUUCAAAGGACAAAUCAGUUUCUUUGCAGAUAGCUUCAUAAAACUUCACAUGGAGUUUAUUUUCCAUAUUUCCCGCUUUUAUUUCUGCUCCUCCUUUCAUUGCCCAUCUUGCUUCAGAGACUGACAUUUCAGGGUGGAUAUUAAUUAAAGCAUUAAUUUUCUUUUUUGGUAUAUUUCUAUCCCUAGCGUGUCUUACUGCUAAAAUACAGGAAAAGUGCCGUAUUUUUAAUGCAUUUAGUGGUUUUCUUUGGUGUUAUCUGUUCCAUUUUUCUUUUUCAUACAUUGAAGUGUGUCUCCUUUUCAACCAAAAUGACGAAAUAGUGGAGACCAUGAAAUUGUUGUGCCUGGCUAAUUGGCAAAUUAAUUUACCAAUAUAAUAAGUGUAGCGCCUUGUUUGAAUACCCUUUUUGAGAAGGUAUGAUGAGAAUGGGCAAGGGUGUCAGCAUCUCUUCUUCUUAAUAAUUGUUUUCAGUUUUGGUUCACGAAGAAUGCUUAGUUAAUCUGUAAUGUUGCCUAGAGCUGUAUUUAUCUGUUUUUAUUUAUACUAGUGUAGUAAAGCUGCAUAUCAUUACAGUAAAAAUGAUUACUGUGAUGAGUUAAUCAGAAAAUCUAUUAAAAUCUAUAUGACAA
RNAcentral lists this long non-coding RNA (1538 nucleotides) under Pongo abelii (Sumatran orangutan). RNAcentral describes it as "lncRNA (ENSPPYG00000033900.1)". The record is from RNAcentral. Lineage: Eukaryota; Metazoa; Chordata; Mammalia; Primates; Hominidae.